Molecule: ribosomal RNA, 203 nt
Filed under: uncultured Leptolinea sp.
Lineage: Bacteria; Bacillati; Chloroflexota; Anaerolineae; Anaerolineales; Anaerolineaceae
Description: partial 16S ribosomal RNA
Rfam family: Bacterial small subunit ribosomal RNA
Source: RNAcentral
UGAUGUCAAGUCAGCAUGGCCUUUAUAUCCUGGGCUACACACACGCUACAAUGGCCAACACAAUAGGUUGCUAAGCCGCGAGGUGGCGCCAAUCCAUAAAGUUGGUCUCAGUUCAGAUUGUAGGCUGCAACCCGCCUGCAUGAAGAUGGAGUUGCUAGUAACCGCAGGUCAGCUAUACUGCGGUGAAUACGUUCUCGGGCCUU